UUUUUUUUUUUUUUUUUUUAUCACUACGCUGUCUGUGAAGCUAGUUUCGCCAUAUUAAAAUUGGGUUUGAGAGUCUUUACUGAUACCUAAUAGGAUAGGUGUAAAAUAGAGGUUUAAAGGUCUAUAAUCCCCUUUCACUCUUUUUCUACAAUCACUGGCGUAACAUAAUUGGAGGAUGCCCUUGCUGCGGAUUCGUCUGGUCAUUGAGAUUCGCCUCUUUUGCUCUCCCAUUCGAAACCUGGCGGAAUUUCUACCCAUCAUCCCGUCCGAAGACCGAACUUGAUUACUAUACAAACACAAAAAACAAUUUGACCCUUUGCAGAUUCUGCCUCGCUGAGUGGUUUUGUAUCACAGUCUUCUAGCCCCGAAGCCUAUCGGAAUAAGGCAGGCCGAAGUGAUAAACUGAUCUAUUGACCCUUUCUUUUUCGGAGUUUGGGUCUAUUACCAGGCUUGGACCAGGUCUACCAAACGGUGACGAACCAAUUCCUCUUUUCGCUUCCGUUACAACUGGAGGUCUUCCGCUUUAGUUGUGUCGCAUACUUCCCCGCCCCCUAACACAAGAAAAUAAGUGAACUUCCUAACGAUUCUAAUCAGGUUUCCUAUUGUUAUUGAUAGGGAUUCAAGUGCGUAAAACACCUCUUCAAGAGAAGACCCUAAGUAGCUG
Molecule: unclassified non-coding RNA, 664 nt
Filed under: Hevea brasiliensis (rubber tree)
Lineage: Eukaryota; Viridiplantae; Streptophyta; Magnoliopsida; Malpighiales; Euphorbiaceae
Source: RNAcentral